UAGGGAAUCUUCCGCAAUGGGCGAAAGCCUGACGGAGCAACGCCGCGUGAGUGAUGAAGGUCUUCGGACCGUAAAACUCUGUUAUUAGGGAAGAACAAAUGUGUAAGUAACUAUGCACGUCUUGACGGUACCUAAUCAGAAAGCCACGGCUAACUACGUGCCAGCAGCCGCGGUAAUACGUAGGUGGCAAGCGUUAUCCGGAAUUAUUGGGCGUAAAGCGCGCGUAGGCGGUUUUUUAAGUCUGAUGUGAAAGCCAACGGCUCAACCGUGGAGGGUCAUUGGAAACUGGAAAACUUGAGUGCAGAAGAGGAAAGUGGAAUUCCAUGUGUAGCGGUAAAAUGCGCAGAGAUAUGGAGGAACACCAGUGGCGAAGGCGACUUUCUGGUCUGUAACUGACGCUGAUGUGCGAAAGCGUGGGGAUCAAACAGG
This 429-nucleotide ribosomal RNA is filed under the name Actinomycetes bacterium. RNAcentral's name for it is "Actinobacteria bacterium partial 16S ribosomal RNA". It matches the Rfam family "Bacterial small subunit ribosomal RNA", at positions 355 to 776 of the family's 1533-position model. The record is from RNAcentral. Lineage: Bacteria; Bacillati; Actinomycetota; Actinomycetes.